This 408-nucleotide ribosomal RNA is filed under the name uncultured eukaryote. Its description in RNAcentral is "SSU rRNA". It matches the Rfam family "Eukaryotic small subunit ribosomal RNA", at positions 567 to 981 of the family's 1831-position model. The record is from RNAcentral.
CCAGCAGCUGCGGUAAUUCCAGCUCCAAUAGCGUAUAUUUAAGUUGUUGCAGUUAAAAAGCUCGUAGUUGGAUUUCGGGUGGGGUGGUGCGGUCCGCCUCUGGUGUGCACUGCUCCGCUCCACCUUCCUGCCGGGGACGGGCUCCUGGGGCUUCACUGUCUCGGGACUCGGAGUCGGCGAUGUUACUUUGAGUAAAUUAGAGUGUUCAAAGCAGGCCUACGCUCUGAAUACAUUAGCAUGGAAUAACACGAUAGGACUCUGGCCUAUCUGUUGGUCUGUGGGACCGGAGUAAUGAUUAAGAGGGGUAGUCGGGGGCAUUCGUAUUCCGUUGUCAGAGGUGAAAUUCUUGGAUUUACGGAAGACGAACAUCUGAGAAAGCAUUUGCCAAGGAUACUUUCAUUGAUCAAG